ACACAUUGAUUCUGCCAUCACAGUUAGGUAUUGUCUAUACUGGUAUAUUGGUAUACUUAUUUCAAUGUUAUAUUGACUAUCUUUCAGAUGAGUGUCCAGAAUGCUGUUGGAGAGUGAGGCAAAACAACUUUGACUACUCCAAGGUUUUGAAAAGAAGAGUGAGAGAGGGAACAGAGGAGGUCCUCAUUUGUUGGGUUCCAUGCAAGACCUGUGGGACCAAAUGGAAAGACUCCUGGGAGCCCUCCUCCCUUCUUGAAUAAUGAAUUACAUUUUUAUUUUUAUUUUGUAUUUUCUUUUAUAAUGAAUAAAAUAACUACAAACAUAAACAAAGUUAUUGACUUGUUAUUCAUUGCCUAAAUUGCAUAUGCUAUAUAGAGUACACACAGAUCUUUAUAAAUAACCUAAUUAAAAAUCCUCUGUUUAUUGUCAGUUUUGUUUGAAUAACUGUUAUAUCUACGUCUGUACGUCUGUUAUGUUCUCACGUGUUUGUCUGUGUAUGUAGUUAUAUAUGUACUGUCUAUAUAUUGGUUGUAAGCAGGAUUUCUUGUAACUUGGUGGAUGGGUAGGACAUGGUACAGGAAGAAACCUAUUAUAUUUUGUGGCUGUUAAAAUUUUAGAUUAAUAAAAUUUGAUGUAGUUGGAGAU
RNAcentral lists this long non-coding RNA (645 nucleotides) under Carassius auratus (goldfish). Its description in RNAcentral is "lncRNA (ENSCARG00000062830.1)". The record is from RNAcentral. Lineage: Eukaryota; Metazoa; Chordata; Actinopteri; Cypriniformes; Cyprinidae.